UUUGAAACCCUAACCUUAAACAUAUCAGCCGUUCACCAUCUACCUUCCCUCUCAAAUUCUUUAUCUCCUUCACUUUAUCCACACACACCCAUAAACCACCUUAUUCUCUCAUAUCUCAGACAUAACAUAAACAAACACCCUGUCUCCUCUCUUGAAGUUAAUGAGUUGAUUUGUGUUGUUGGCUUCUGUGUCGAAGAUGGUGAUGAUGUUGAAGACGGCUCGGGUGUUGGUUCAGCCCGGGUCGCGUAGGUUUUAGAUUCGGGUCGAGGGUGGUUCGAGCUUCAUAUUCUAAGUUUGUUUCGGGUUAUUGUACGAAACAACACAACAUGAAGAAGUUAUAGAAAGUAUUCCAUUGUUUGCUAGAGAACUGAUUGCCGGUGGUGUUACCGGUGGAGUUGCCAAGACAACCGUUGCUCCUCUCGAGCGUCUCAAGAUCUUGUUUCUGGUUAACUUUGCUUUUUAGUGUGCUGAUUGUUGGUGCUGAUUUUGUUUUUUUUUUUUUUUCCGGUGGUUCAUAAUUAGGUUAUUUUCAAAUUGUGCAUAUAGUAUUUUGGGCGAAACUUGUGUUUUAAUGGAUUUUGAAACCACUCAAAUUAUAACAAUUAUUUAACUUUAGACAUGUUAUAAGAAUCCAGCACAUGUUAUAAGAAUCCAGGUUGACUUGUUUAACAAUUAACAUAUUCAAGGACCAAAAGGGGAGACAUAAGUGAAUGUUGGAGUUUCGUGUGGAAUUAUAAUACACAUCGAACAAGUUGGGAGGUGCGGGGGUGCACGCUUGUGUUCCGAAUCAUAUUUAUCAUUAUGCAUUUUUCAGCACGAAAAAGCAAGUAUUUUUUGUUUUUUUUUUUUAAUUUUUUAAUAGUAUCCGUAGGAAACAUGUAGGAAAAAGAAUAAACAGGUUUUGUCACAUUCUGUAGGAAACAAAGAUAAAUUCGUAGGAAAUGUGUGGGAAAAAAUAAUACAUUUUGUUGGAAUUGUGUAGGAAAAAACUAUUUUUGUAGAAAUUGUGUAGGAAUCAAGAACACAUUUCGUUGGAACUGUGUAGG
RNAcentral lists this long non-coding RNA (1046 nucleotides) under Helianthus annuus (common sunflower). Its description in RNAcentral is "hypothetical non coding rna". Lineage: Eukaryota; Viridiplantae; Streptophyta; Magnoliopsida; Asterales; Asteraceae. The record is from RNAcentral.